This 70-nucleotide ribosomal RNA is filed under the name Aspergillus sydowii. Its description in RNAcentral is "partial 28S ribosomal RNA". It matches the Rfam family "Eukaryotic large subunit ribosomal RNA", at positions 1 to 73 of the family's 3401-position model. Lineage: Eukaryota; Fungi; Ascomycota; Eurotiomycetes; Eurotiales; Aspergillaceae. The record is from RNAcentral.
UGACCUCGGAUCAGGUAGGGAUACCCGCUGAACUUAAGCAUAUCAAUAAGCGGAGGAAAUCAUUACUGAG